UACGGGGGGUGCGAGCGUUGUUCGGAAUCACUGGGCGUAAAGGGCGCGUAGGUGGCCUGGUAAGUAGGGGGUGAAAUCUCGCGGCUCAACUGCGAGGCUGCCUCCUAAACUGUCAGGCUCGAGCAGAGUAGAGGCAGGUGGAAUUCCCGGUGUAGCGGUGGAAUGCGUAGAGAUCGGGAAGAACAUCGGUGGCGAAGGCGGCCUGCUGGGCUCUUGCUGACACUGAGGCGCGACAGCGUGGGGAGCAAACAGG
RNAcentral lists this ribosomal RNA (253 nucleotides) under uncultured bacterium. Its description in RNAcentral is "partial 16S ribosomal RNA". It matches the Rfam family "Bacterial small subunit ribosomal RNA", at positions 524 to 776 of the family's 1533-position model. The record is from RNAcentral.